GAAAUGCGAUAAGUAAUGUGAAUUGCAGAAUUCAGUGAAUCAUCGAAUCUUUGAACGCACAUUGCGCCCCCUGGUAUUCCGGGGGGCAUGCCUGUUCGAGCGUCAUUUCACCACUCAAGCCUCUCUUGGUAUUGGGCGACGCGGUCCGCCGCGCGCCUCAAAUCGACCGGCUGGGUCUUUCGUCCCCUCAGCGUUGUGGAAACUAUUCGCUAAAGGGUGUCGCGGGAGGCUACGCCGUUAAACAACCCCAUUUCUAAGGUUGACCUCGGAUCAGGUAGGGAUACCCGCUGAACUUAAGC
This 299-nucleotide unclassified non-coding RNA is filed under the name plant metagenome. RNAcentral describes it as "partial contains 5.8S ribosomal RNA, internal transcribed spacer 2, and large subunit ribosomal RNA". The stretch from base 1 to 105 matches the Rfam family "5.8S ribosomal RNA", at positions 50 to 154 of the family's 154-position model. The record is from RNAcentral.